RNAcentral lists this ribosomal RNA (291 nucleotides) under uncultured bacterium. RNAcentral's name for it is "partial 16S ribosomal RNA". It matches the Rfam family "Bacterial small subunit ribosomal RNA", at positions 334 to 642 of the family's 1533-position model. The record is from RNAcentral.
UAGCCCUACGGGACGCAGCAGUGGGGAAUAUUGCACAAUGGGGGGAACCCUGAUGCAGCGACGCCGCGUGAGUGAAGAAGUAUUUCGGUACGUAAAGCUCUAUCAGCAGGGAAGAAAAUGACGGUACUUGACUAAGAAGCCCCGGCUAACUACGUGCCAGCAGCCGCGGUAAUACGUAGGGGGCUAGCGUUAUCCGGAUUUACUGGGUGUAAAGGGAGCGUAGACGGCAGAGCAAGUCUGAAGUGAAAGCCCGCGGCCCAACUGCGGGACUGUCUUGGAACCUGCCCGGCU